This 152-nucleotide small RNA is filed under the name Sulfobacillus acidophilus. Its description in RNAcentral is "c-di-AMP sequence". It matches the Rfam family "c-di-AMP riboswitch aptamer (ydaO/yuaA leader)". Rfam says of the family: This family represents a conserved RNA structure found upstream of the ydaO and yuaA genes in Bacillus subtilis and related genes in other bacteria. The ydaO/yuaA element is thought to act as a genetic "off" switch for the ydaO and yuaA genes in its native state. The record is from RNAcentral. RNAcentral also lists the same sequence under 1 other name. Lineage: Bacteria; Bacillati; Bacillota; Clostridia; Eubacteriales; Clostridiales Family XVII. Incertae Sedis.
AUGAUAGUUGUGCCGAAUCCCUGACAUUCAGGGUACGGGGGAUCCCGCCCAGCGGGCGGGUAGGUGAAUCUGGCCAAACCAGUAGGGGGCUCCUUCUCCCCCGAACCACGGGAAACCGUUAACUAACCUCGGAGGCAGAUCGCAGAAGGAAG